UGGGGAAUUUUGGACAAUGGGCGAAAGCCUGAUCCAGCAAUGCCGCGUGUGUGAAGAAGGCCUUCGGGUUGUAAAGCACUUUUGUCCGGAAAGAAAUCCUUGGCUCUAAUACAGUCGGGGGAUGACGGUACCGGAAGAAUAAGCACCGGCUAACUACGUGCCAGCAGCCGCGGUAAUACGUAGGGUGCAAGCGUUAAUCGGAAUUACUGGGCGUAAAGCGUGCGCAGGCGGUUUGCUAAGACCGAUGUGAAAUCCCCGGGCUCAACCUGGGAACUGCAUUGGUGACUGGCAGGCUAGAGUAUGGCAGAGGGGGGUAGAAUUCCACGUGUAGCAGUGAAAUGCGUAGAGAUGUAGAGGAAUACCGAUGGCGAAGGCAGCCCCCUGGGCCAAUACUGACGCUCAUGCACGAAAGCGUGGGGAGCAAACAGGAUUAGAUACCCUGGUAGUCCACGCCCUAAAACGAUGUCAACUAGUUGUUGGGGAUUCAUUUCCUUAGUAACGUAGCUAACGCGUGAAGUUGACCGCCUGGGGAGUACGGUCGCAAGAUUAAAACUCAAAUGAAUUGACGGGGUCAUAGCUGUUUCCU
RNAcentral lists this ribosomal RNA (586 nucleotides) under uncultured bacterium. RNAcentral's name for it is "partial 16S ribosomal RNA". It matches the Rfam family "Bacterial small subunit ribosomal RNA", at positions 355 to 1375 of the family's 1533-position model. The record is from RNAcentral.